GACGAACGCUGGCGGCGUGCCUAAUACAUGCAAGUCGAGCGGAAUGAUGAAGAAGCUUGCUUCUUCUGAUUUUAGCGGCGGACGGGUGAGUAACACGUGGGCAACCUACCUUGUAGAUUGGGAUAACUCCGGGAAACCGGGGCUAAUACCGAAUAAUCCAUUUUGCUUCAUGGCGAGAUGUUGAAAGACGGUUUCGGCUGUCACUACAAGAUGGGCCCGCGGCGCAUUAGCUAGUUGGUAGGGUAAUGGCCUACCAAGGCGACGAUGCGUAGCCGACCUGAGAGGGUGAUCGGCCACACUGGGACUGAGACACGGCCCAGACUCCUACGGGAGGCAGCAGUAGGGAAUCUUCCGCAAUGGACGAAAGUCUGACGGAGCAACGCCGCGUGAGUGAUGUAAGGUUUUCGGAUACGUAAAACUCUGUUGUUAGGGAAGAACAAGUACGAGAGUAACUGCUCGUACCUUGACGGUACCUAACCAGAAAGCCACGGCUAACUACGUG
RNAcentral lists this ribosomal RNA (502 nucleotides) under uncultured bacterium. Its description in RNAcentral is "bacterial SSU rRNA". It matches the Rfam family "Bacterial small subunit ribosomal RNA", at positions 28 to 507 of the family's 1533-position model. The record is from RNAcentral.